AUUUGGUUAGGAUUUGAUUUAGAAUUAGGGUUGAUUUAGGAUUAGGAUUUGAUUUAGGUUUUAGGAUUUGAUUUAGGAUUUGAUUUAGGAUUUAGGAUUUGAUUUAAGAUUAGGAUUUGAUUUAGGUUUGAUUUAGGAUUAGGAUUUGGUUUAAAGUUUAGAAUUAGGAUUAGGAUUUGGUUUAAAGUUUAGAAUUUGGUUAGGAUUUGAUUUAGGGUUUAGAGUUUGGUUAGGAUUUUAUUUAGGAUUUGGUUAGGAUUUGAUUUAAGGUUUGAUUAGGAUUUGGUUUAGGAUCUAGGGUUUGGUUUAGGAUUUAAAAUUUAGUUAGGAUUUGAUUUAGGAUUUAGAAUUUGUUUAAGAUUUGGUUUAGAGUUUAGGGUUUGAUUAGGGUUUGGUUUAGGAUUUAAGAUUUGAUUUAGGAUUUAGGGUUUGAUUUAGGAUUUAAGAUUUUAUUAAGGUUUGUUUAAGGUUUAAAAUUUAAUUAGUUUUGGACUAAAGUUUGAAUGAAGUCUAAUAGGAUUUUAACUAGGAUUAAAUUAAGAUUGAAUUGAGAUGUAUUUGAGAGAUAUUUGUGAUUAUUCUAAUAUUUCUUUAAGAUUUUUUAUUAUUUCUUUGAAAUUACUUUGAGGUUUCUUUGAAUUUGAUUAAAGCUUACUUAGCAUUAUUAUGCUCUAAUUAGAGAAUUAUUAGUAUUCUAUUAGAAUUAGGAUUUUGUUGUUACAAUUUUCAUUCUACCUUCCACAGCCAAGCGUCCGAAGCAUUUUCAAGCAAGAUUUCACAUAUUUCGACAACGGUAGGCUAUACCAGAGAUUUCACUAGGGUAGGUUCUAAUUUAUUUGGUAU
This 843-nucleotide long non-coding RNA is filed under the name Physcomitrium patens. Its description in RNAcentral is "long non-coding RNA (PPAT_LNC005467)". The record is from RNAcentral. Lineage: Eukaryota; Viridiplantae; Streptophyta; Bryopsida; Funariales; Funariaceae.